GACGAGGCUAUAACUGACGCUAAAGCUCGAAGGUGCGGGUAUCGAACAGGAUUAGAUACCCUGGUAGUCCGCACGGUAAACGAUGGAUGCCCGCUGUUGGCGAUACAAUGUCAGCGGCCAAGCGAAAGCGUUAAGCAUCCCACCUGGGGAGUACGCCGGCAACGGUGAAACUCAAAGGAAUUGACGGGGGCCCGCACAAGCGGAGGAACAUGUGGUUUAAUUCGAUGAUACGCGAGGAACCUUACCCGGGCUUGAACUGCAGGGGAACGAUCCAGAGAUGGUGAGGUCAGCAAUGACCCCUGUGGAGGUGCUGCAUGGUUGUCGUCAGCUCGUGCCGUGAGGUGUCGGCUUAAGUGCCAUAACGAGCGCAACCCUUUUCAUCAGUUGCCAUCAGGUAGUGCUGGGCACUCUGGUGAUACUGCCACCGUAAGGUGUGAGGAAGGUGGGGAUGACGUCAAAUCAGCACGGCCCUUACGUCCGGGGCUACACACGUGUUACAAUGGGUGGUACAGAGAGUCGGUCGCUGGCAAUAGCGAUCCAAUCCUUAAAGCCAUCCUCAGUUCGGAUUGGGGUCUGCAACCCGACCCCAUGAAGCUGGAU
RNAcentral lists this ribosomal RNA (600 nucleotides) under uncultured bacterium. RNAcentral's name for it is "bacterial SSU rRNA". It matches the Rfam family "Bacterial small subunit ribosomal RNA", at positions 727 to 1331 of the family's 1533-position model. The record is from RNAcentral.